RNAcentral lists this long non-coding RNA (193 nucleotides) under Taeniopygia guttata (zebra finch). RNAcentral's name for it is "lncRNA (ENSTGUG00000023043.1)". Lineage: Eukaryota; Metazoa; Chordata; Aves; Passeriformes; Estrildidae. The record is from RNAcentral.
GCCACGGGGCACAAGAGGAGAACUUUGACCCUACAGUGAUUAAGAAAGAAAAGCUGAACCUACCUAGUGAAAGGCAUAAGACACUCGGCCUUUCUGUCUUUGACGUUAAUGGGCUUACAUGACAGACUUGAAGGGUUGAACUUCAAGAGAUGGAAGUGGAGAUACUGGCUGAUAAGCAAAAGCUAAUGACAGG